GGGAGCUUGCUCCUGAAUUCAGCGGCGGACGGGUGAGUAAUGCCUAGGAAUCUGCCUGGUAGUGGGGGACAACGUUUCGAAAGGAACGCUAAUACCGCAUACGUCCUACGGGAGAAAGCAGGGGACCUUCGGGCCUUGCGCUAUCAGAUGAGCCUAGGUCGGAUUAGCUAGUUGGUGAGGUAAUGGCUCACCAAGGCGACGAUCCGUAACUGGUCUGAGAGGAUGAUCAGUCACACUGGAACUGAGACACGGUCCAGACUCCUACGGGAGGCAGCAGUGGGGAAUAUUGGACAAUGGGCGAAAGCCUGAUCCAGCCAUGCCGCGUGUGUGAAGAAGGUCUUCGGAUUGUAAAGCACUUUAAGUUGGGAGGAAGGGUUGUAGAUUAAUACUCUGCAAUUUUGACGUUACCGACAGAAUAAGCACCGGCUAACUCUGUGCCAGCAGCCGCGGUAAUACAGAGGGUGCAAGCGUUAAUCGGAAUUACUGGGCGUAAAGCGCGCGUAGGUGGUUCGUUAAGUUGGAUGUGAAAUCCCCGGGCUCAACCUGGGAACUGCAUCCAAAACUGGCGAGCUAGAGUA
Molecule: ribosomal RNA, 578 nt
Filed under: Pseudomonas sp. PGERs17
Lineage: Bacteria; Pseudomonadati; Pseudomonadota; Gammaproteobacteria; Pseudomonadales; Pseudomonadaceae
Description: bacterial SSU rRNA
Rfam family: Bacterial small subunit ribosomal RNA
Source: RNAcentral